AGAGUUUGAUUCUGGCUCAGAACGAGCGCUGGCAGCGUGGAUUAGGCAUGCAAGUCGAACGAGAAGCCCUGGUCUCAAUCUUCGGAGAGAAACCAGGGUGGAAAGUGGCGGAAGGGUGAGUAACGCGUGGGUAACCUGCCUCUGAGUUGGGGACAACCCCUCGAAAGGGGGGCUAAUACCGAAUACGGUCUUCUUGGGCAUCCAAGAAUGACUAAAGGUGGGGAUUCUUCGGAACCUGUCGCUCGGAGAGGGACUCGCGUACCAUCAGCUUGUUGGUGAGGUAACGGCUCACCAAGGCUCCGACGGUUAGCUGGUCUGAGAGGAUGGUCAGCCACACUGGGACUGAGACACUGCCCAGACUCCUACGGGAGGCUGCAGUCGAGGAUCAUAGUCAAUGCGCGGAAGCGUGAACUUGCGACGCUGCGUGGAGGAUGACGGCCCUAGGGUUGUAAACUCCUGUCAUGGGGGAAAAAUCCUCCUGUCCUGAAUACGGGCGGGAGUUGAUGGUACCUCAAGAGGAAGCCACGGCUAACUCUGUGCCAGCAGCCGCGGUAAUACAGAGGUGGCGAGCGUUGUUCGGAUUUACUGGGCGUAAAGCGUGCGUAGGUGGCAUCGUGUGUCGGAUGUGAAAGCUCAUGGCUCAACCGUGAAACUGCAUUCGAAACUGCGGAGCUAGAGUACAGGAGGGGAGAGCGGAAUUCUUGGUGUAGCGGUGAAAUGCGUUGAUAUCAAGAAGAACACCGGUGGCGAAGGCGGCUCUCUGGAAUGUUACUGACACUGAGGCACGAAAGCUGGGGGAGCGAACAGGAUUAGAUACCCUGGUAGUCCCAGCUGUAAACGGUGUGCACUUGGUGUGGGGGGUAUUGACCCCCCCCGUGCCGGAGCUAACGCGUUAAGUGCACCGCCUGGGGAGUACGGCCGCAAGGCUAAAACUCAAAGAAAUUGACGGGGGCCCGCACAAGCGGAGGAGCAUGUGGCUUAAUUCGAUGCAACGCGAAGAACCUUACCAGGACUUGACAUGCAGCUGCACGUCCGGUGAAAGUCGGAAAGCCUUCGAGGGUGCUGCACAGGUGCUGCAUGGCUGUCGUCAGUUCGUGCCGUGAGGUGUUGGGUUAAGUCCCGCAACGAACGCAACCCCUGUGGUUAGUUGCCACCACCGGUGAUGAGCCGGUGAGCACUCUAGCCAGACUGCCCGUACAAGCGGGAGGAAGGUGGGGACGACGUCAAGUCAGUAUGGCCCUUACGUCCUGGGCUGCACACGUGCUACAAUGGUCGGUACAGAGGGACGCAAUGCCGCGAGGUGGAGCAAAUCCCCAAAGCCGGCCUCAGUUCGGAUAGGAGUCUGCAACUCGACUCCUUGAAGUCGGAUUCGCUAGUAACGGCGUAUCAGCUACGACGCCGUGAAUACGUUCCCGGGCCUUGUACACACCGCCCGUCACAUCAUGAAAGCCGUCUGCACCCGAAGUCGCUGAGCCAACCCGCAAGGGAGGCAGGUGCCG
Molecule: ribosomal RNA, 1499 nt
Filed under: metagenome
Description: bacterial SSU rRNA
Rfam family: Bacterial small subunit ribosomal RNA
Source: RNAcentral